CAGUGACUCAUGGCUUGAUUUCCUUUGAGGGACCUUUCCAUUCACAUGGAUGUAGAUAUGAAACAAAGUUCUAUUAGAUUCAGAUCCCGUAGUGGGAGAGGCCAUUCUCUAAUCAAUGUAUACUCAUUUUAUUCCCUAACUGAUGAGCACCCACUUUGCUACCUUGUCCUAUGAGGAACUGGAAGCUUACCCCACCAACUACCAACCAACUGCCAGUCACUGGGGGAAGCAUGCCAGGACUGAAAAAGCCACAGGGUGCCCUGAGGGAAAGACAGGAGACGGCUGUGCCAGUGGAAAUGACAUCAAAGAAGAGGCCUGAUUGGCUGCCUUGUUACCGCACCCCAAGGACCAGAAGACCUUUCUCUGACUUGCAGCUGAACCCUUCCCUGUGUGUUGUUUCUCCCCUUAGAAUGGGAGCUCCUGGAGGGCAGGGAUGGUCUGACUUUCCUGUCUGUGUCCCCAUCACAGAGUACCAUGCUUGGAACUCAGUAAGCACUUAAAAACACUUUCUAAAACCAUCCAAAAAUCCUGCUGUUUUGGCAUAAAUACUGGACUUUGGUUUCUUUCUUUCUCCAUUUCCUUGACAAAGAUGUUCAGCAGUGGGAGAACUAAGUCCAGGGACAGUUUAGUCACUUUAUUUGCUUAACUCCACAAUGAAAUCAAUAAUGAUUAGACCACUUCCCAGCACCACUAACAGAACAUCAGUGUGCCUGUCUUCCAACACCAGCUCCCCCUCAAUGACUGUUCCUAUCCCUUUAACAAUUUGUGUGAUGUCAGGUAAAACCUCCAAGUUGUUUAUCUUUUAGUUUUUGAAAAUUGUUUAAUUAUAUCCUCACAAAAAAACCUGAGUAACAUAAUUCCAAAAAGUUUAUUAAAAAAGCAAACAUCAGAAGGCAAUAGCGAAGGAAGCGUGCCAUUUCUUUUACUUUUUGCAAGUGAAAUAAGACACUUUGAGAAGUACAAAGGAAUAACCAAUCAAGUGAGGUGAAGUAGCAAAAGGACUGCUGCUCUUGAGGAAAAGGCCACAGGAGAGCAGAGACAAAAGAUCUAUCCUCUACUGAGGCCCUUCCUCCUCUCCGCCAGAAAGGUUACCCAAAGGCAUUGAGGUCAGGGUCCUGACUUGUUCAGGGGACAAGGAGGCUCAACGAAGGAGCUCAUGACAAGCAGCCUCCCCUGGGAGCUAAAAAGGGGCUCUCUGCUCAACACUUUACAAGGGGAUCUCACCAAAGGACUGCAUCAGCCAUGGUUUGCAGUGACACACCUGCCUGGCUGGACUCACUCACCUGGAUG
This is a non-coding RNA of Phascolarctos cinereus (koala), 1290 nucleotides long. Lineage: Eukaryota; Metazoa; Chordata; Mammalia; Diprotodontia; Phascolarctidae. The record is from RefSeq and is a predicted model, not a curated record.